GUGGGGAAUUUUGGACAAUGGGCGCAAGCCUGAUCCAGCAAUGCCGCGUGCAGGAAGAAGGCCUUCGGGUUGUAAACUGCUUUUGUACGGAACGAAACGGUCCGGGUUAAUACCCUGGGCUAAUGACGGUACCGUAAGAAUAAGCACCGGCUAACUACGUGCCAGCAGUCGCGGUAAUACGUAGGGUGCAAGCGUUAAUCGGAAUUACUGGGCGUAAAGCGUGCGCAGGCGGUUUUGUAAGUCAGGCGUGAAAUCCCCGGGCUCAACCUGGGAAUUGCGCUUGUGACUGCAAGGCUGGGGUGCGGCAGAGGGGGAUGGAAUUCCGCGUGUAGCAGUGAAAUGCGUAGAUAUGCGGAGGAACACCGAUGGCGAAGGCAAUCCCCUGGGCCUGCACUGACGCUCAUGCACGAAAGCGUGGGGAGCAAACAGGAUUAGAUACCCGAGUAGUCC
This 450-nucleotide ribosomal RNA is filed under the name uncultured bacterium. RNAcentral's name for it is "partial 16S ribosomal RNA". It matches the Rfam family "Bacterial small subunit ribosomal RNA", at positions 354 to 796 of the family's 1533-position model. The record is from RNAcentral.